CCAGUAGAGAUGGCGAUAAAGCAGAGCUACUAGCCUUGAGUGUGUUUAAGCUUCAUGCAUGUCAGUGUUCUUGGUGGAGAUUAAGAGCUCAUCAAAUCCAAGGAGUCUUUCCAAUCUUAUUAUUGAUAGGACCAAACAAGAGGGAUCUCAGUGAUACUGAGGACCAAACAAGAAGGAUCAGAUAGCCCCAGGCUCAAGGAAUGGCUCA
Molecule: long non-coding RNA, 208 nt
Organism: Amphimedon queenslandica
Lineage: Eukaryota; Metazoa; Porifera; Demospongiae; Haplosclerida; Niphatidae
Exons: 2
Source: RefSeq, a predicted model, not a curated record